RNA transcript from Malania oleifera, 2999 nucleotides. It is a transcript of the gene named protein EXECUTER 1, chloroplastic, with no coding region annotated. NCBI's taxonomy places the organism in Eukaryota, Viridiplantae, Streptophyta, Magnoliopsida, Santalales, Ximeniaceae. The transcript has 13 exons. The record is from RefSeq and is a predicted model, not a curated record.
GACUAUCCAAAAUCUGUCUCUCGCUCUAUCCACAAACGAGUCGUGCUCUGCCUUUCUCCGCUAACCCAGUGGCUCAGUUUCACAUCCUAAUCGCAAGAACAAGCUUACAGCACUCCUCCUUCUUCUCGCGCAUUUUCAUGGCUACCAUUUCUCCUCCUACCUUUCCUUCCCCAUCCGCCUUCUCUGAUCCAACCCCUCACAAAUUCACCUUUAGAUCCCCCAAAUUCUCCUCCCGCACCACUCUCUCUUCACGGCUCUCCGACUGCGCCCGCGCCCCUUGCCGCUGCCACGGCCACUCUGACGCUCCAUCGCCCUCCGAUGACUCCCCUGUCGGCUGGAGAUGGGACUCCGUUCUUCACGACGCCGUCAAGAAUGCCAUCGGACGGUUUGAUUCCUUCCUGAAUUCGCACAGAGAUCAGGUGAAGCCUGCUCCCAGUGUCAACGCUACGGAGAUAAAAAGCGAAGUCGAGGAGGAUGAGGAUUGGGGUUGGGACCGGUGGAAGCAGCAUUUUGCCGAGGUCGAUCACCAGGAGCGUACUGUUUCGGUCUUGAAGUCACAGUUAGGUCAUGCUGUUCAUAGCGAAGAUUAUGAAGAUGCCGCUAGGCUUAAGGUGGCAAUUGCUGCUGCAGCCACAAAUGACAUUGUUGGCAGAGUGAUAUUUCAUCUGAAUAGAGCCAUAGAGGAGGAGCAUUACCAGGAUGCAGCAUUUAUACGGGAUUAUGCUGGUGCUGGCUUGAUUGGAUGGUGGGCUGGCAUCUCAGAAGAUACUAAUGAUCCUUAUGGUCGAAUUAUUCGAAUAAGUGCGGAGUAUGGAAGAUAUGUUGCUAGAAGUUAUAGUCCCCGACAGCUUGCUACAGCUACAGCUACAACUGGUGUUCCCCUGUUCGAGAUAUUCCUAACAAUGAACAAAAAAGGUCAAUACAAACAACAGGUUGUUUAUUUGAAGCAAAGGGGAGUUUCCCAAGAGUCUACUACAGUAUCUUCCAAGUCAUCAGGUGCCAUCAACAGCUUCAGUGAAUUAAACACAGCGGGAGAUAAAAGUGAUAUAUCUGCUACAACUGUUGAAGAUGUUGAAGAUGAUGAAGAUAGGGAUGAUGAUGCAGUCACUGGACUGUCUGGCUUUCAGAAUAUCUUGCGAGAUAUGAUUCCUGGGGUGAAGGUUAAGGUUUUAAAAGUGACAGCCUCUGGGAAGGUGGACCGGGAUCUAAUUGCUAGAGUAAUUGAACAGAUAACAGAGGAGGAAGAUGAAGAAAAUGAUACUGAACCAGAAAGUGUAGAUGCAGAAGAUGAAAUUAGUAGUGAAAGUGAUCGCGAGCAAGAUGAGAUUGAAGUGGAUACUUCUCGUGAAAAUGUCAAUAAUGAUGAGAGAAGUGAAAUUGCAGUUAAAGUCAUCGUUGGUGGGCUUGUACAUAAACUCUCUAAUCCUACUAAAGAUUUACUGCGAGUACCAGCUAGGCUAGUAAAAAAGGGACGAUCAUCCUUUUCUUUUUCGAUAGAAAAGGAUAACAAUCAACUAGAUUCUAAUGGAAAGAGACCUGCUUUGCCUUACAGAAAAACUAAGCUUACAAAUCAACGUAGCAUUAAUCAAGUUAUGUUUGAUCUUGCUAAGGUUAUUGGUAGGGAGAAGAUACCUCUAAAGGUGCUUAAAGAUGUGGGUGAAUUAAUUAAUCUCACCCUCAGCCAGGCUCAAAAUCGUCAACCACUAUCUGGUUCAACAACUUUUAACCGCAUUGAGAUACCAGCAUCUCGAGAUCCUUUAAAUGGACUCUACAUUGGUGCACAUGGGAUUUACACCUCUGAAAUCAUUCACAUGAGACGCAAAUUUGGCCACUGGCAAGAGGAUGGUGGGAGCAAGAAGCGCUCAAAUCUAGAGUUUUAUGAAUAUGUUGAAGCUUUAAAAUUAACUGGGGAUCCUUAUGUACCCGCUGGUCAGGUAGCAUUCCGAGCAAAAGUUGGAAAAAGAUACCAGCUUCCUCAUAAAGGGAUCAUUCCUGAAGAAUUUGGAGUUAUUGCUCGAUAUAGAGGACAAGGGAGGCUUGCUGAGCCUGGUUUUCGGAAUCCUCGAUGGGUUGAUGGCGAGCUCAUUAUACUCGAUGGAAAGUACAUUAAAGCAGGGCCUGUUGUUGGAUUUGUGUAUUGGGCCCCUGAGUUUCAUUUCUUGGUGUUCUUCAAUCGACUGAGGCUUCAGGAAUAGAUACUCAAUGUACAUGAAGCUUGAGCUUGCUGAUUCUUGUUCAUUUAUUAGGUUAUAGAUGAUAUUUGUUCAUAGGUAAUCUUAUUGAGGUACAGGAGCGGAGGAAGUCUGUGGACCUAAGGCUGCAUUGUUCCGUGCUUACUUGACUGGUGGUGCACUUGUUUACGUGACAAAUGAUGUGGGAGGGCAGCUGUUGUGGAGGACUGUUCCAAGGUAGAGAUCUGGAGAUGGUAGCAGCGGCUGAUAAUUUGGGUCAUAUAUCUUGGUACGUUGAGUUGGAAGUCUUUUAUUUUGGUGGUGGGAAUGCAUCAGCCAUCAAGUGAAAACAUGACUAAAGUGAUGGAACGGAGGGCUGCAUUGAUAAUGCUUUUUCAAUCCGCAAUGAAGGCAAGUUGAGUUUUGAAAUUGCAAACCCUGUAAAUUUACAAACAAAAAUGUCAAAUGAGAAAAAAAAAAAAAAAUCCAAUAAUCCUAGAUAAGAUCGAAAAUUCCAUUCGUAACUAAAAUUAUUCUGGUGGUAAAAGAUGUUGACACAAGUAACGUUAGUAUUGUCUCAUGUAUGCUUAUGCAUCAAGGGGUUAGUAGAAAACAAAUUAGAUUAAUGUAAAUUGGCCUGGUGGGCAGAGUUAUGCUGGAGAUGCCAAGUAAUUUGUUAAACCAUUAUGCAAAUGUGAUGAUAGGAUUAAACAGGCUGAGAAUUAUUGCUCUGCCAGAGGAUUUAUGUAUUUAAAUCUGGAAUAGGAGCUAGCUUUGAAAAUAGUUGAAACGAAUAUUCGCGGACUCCAUGGUCUUUCAUGGGCUAUG